GCGACGAGGUGAAAAUUCGACGCACCGUGAGAAAAUAAAACGAGCGAGAUAUUAUGCGCAUUGCAUCGUUUUUAAUAACUCAUCAUAUCAUCCGCGGCGCGGCGUCGUACCUACAUACCAUUGUGAUGUGAAACAAAUAUCAACCUACAGUGUGAAAUUAAUUGCCUUGCUCAGGAAGUACAAUGAGAUGGCGGCUUGGUUUAAGGGAUAUUUGACAAGCUUUCGUUGAAGCACUUUGUAAAGACGGGUAAUCCACUAAUAUUUCGUAAAUUGCACAGCCAACGGGCUGAUCGUUUUGAGGAAGGUGAUAGAAGACAAAGGCCGUAUUCGAGCGAUGAUGGUUGCUACUGCGAGAUGGGAAAAGUCAGCAUCUACGAUCUGGAGCUUGAAGCCAUUGAUGAGUGCAUGCAAGAUGGAUAUGCAUGCUCAGGCACUUACUAGUAAAUUUGUGUGUUGGACGAUGAAAGUGUCGUAUCGAAACGUUAGGUUAAAACAAGUCUUAUCACGACUAUACAUAAAUGAUUGUUCUGAAAAAGAGUUCUGAAUAGGACUAGCUUGAAAAUUCUAUGUUAUUGUGUGAAAUAUAAUUAAGUGAUAAAAUCAGGGUCAUGUACAGUUAUUAUAAUAUGUUCUUUUAUUUAAAGGGGGAGAACUGUGGUGUAUACCACCCUUACACCUACCACUGUAUUGAUAGAUAGCUAAAUAAAGCAUUCGAGCAAAGGCUCGAUCUCUUUGUAUGUUAACUCUUGAACGAACAACAACUGUUUUAUUUAGUCUCCUCCAGAA
This is a long non-coding RNA of Aedes albopictus (Asian tiger mosquito), 786 nucleotides long. RefSeq lists it as uncharacterized. The record is from RefSeq and is a predicted model, not a curated record. NCBI's taxonomy places the organism in Eukaryota, Metazoa, Arthropoda, Insecta, Diptera, Culicidae. The transcript has 3 exons.